Molecule: ribosomal RNA, 813 nt
Filed under: Streptomyces lavenduligriseus
Lineage: Bacteria; Bacillati; Actinomycetota; Actinomycetes; Kitasatosporales; Streptomycetaceae
Description: bacterial SSU rRNA
Rfam family: Bacterial small subunit ribosomal RNA
Source: RNAcentral
AUGCAGUCGAACGAUGAACCUCCUAUACGGGAGGGGAUUAGUGGCGAACGGGUGAGUAACACGUGGGCAAUCUGCCCUUCACUCUGGGACAAGCCCUGGAAACGGGGUCUAAUACCGGAUACGAGCCUCCAAGGCAUCUUGGAGGUUGGAAAGCUCCGGCGGUGAAGGAUGAGCCCGCGGCCUAUCAGCUUGUUGGUGAGGUAACGGCUCACCAAGGCGACGACGGGUAGCCGGCCUGAGAGGGCGACCGGCCACACUGGGACUGAGACACGGCCCAGACUCCUACGGGAGGCAGCAGUGGGGAAUAUUGCACAAUGGGCGAAAGCCUGAUGCAGCGACGCCGCGUGAGGGAUGACGGCCUUCGGGUUGUAAACCUCUUUCAGCAGGGAAGAAGCGAGAGUGACGGUACCUGCAGAAGAAGCGCCGGCUAACUACGUGCCAGCAGCCGCGGUAAUACGUAGGGCGCAAGCGUUGUCCGGAAUUAUUGGGCGUAAAGAGCUCGUAGGCGGCUUGUCACGUCGGUUGUGAAAGCCCGGGGCUUAACCCCGGGUCUGCAGUCGAUACGGGCAGGCUAGAGUUCGGUAGGGGAGAUCGGAAUUCCUGGUGUAGCGGUGAAAUGCGCAGAUAUCAGGAGGAACACCGGUGGCGAAGGCGGAUCUCUGGGCCGAUACUGACGCUGAGGAGCGAAAGCGUGGGGAGCGAACAGGAUUAGAUACCCUGGUAGUCCACGCCGUAAACGGUGGGCACUAGGUGUGGGCAACAUUCCACGUUGUCCGUGCCGCAGCUAACGCAUUAAGUGCCCCGCCUGGGGAG